Molecule: ribosomal RNA, 252 nt
Filed under: uncultured bacterium
Lineage: Bacteria
Description: partial 16S ribosomal RNA
Rfam family: Bacterial small subunit ribosomal RNA
Source: RNAcentral
UACGUAGGGGGCAAGCGUUGUCCGGAAUCAUUGGGCGUAAAGCGCGUGUAGGCGGUCCGGUAAGUCCGCUGUGAAAGUCGGGGGCUCAACCCUCGGAUGCCGGUGGAUACUGUCGGGCUUGAGUACGGAAGAGGCGGUGGAAUUCCUGGUGUAGCGGUGAAAUGCGCAGAUAUCAGGAGGAACACCAAUUGCGAAGGCAGCUCGCUGGGACGUUACUGACGCUGAGACGCGAAAGCGUGGGGAGCAAACAGG